RNAcentral lists this ribosomal RNA (293 nucleotides) under uncultured bacterium. Its description in RNAcentral is "partial 16S ribosomal RNA". It matches the Rfam family "Bacterial small subunit ribosomal RNA", at positions 505 to 796 of the family's 1533-position model. The record is from RNAcentral.
GUGUCAGCAGCCGCGGUAAAACGUAGGAGGCAAGCGUUAUCCGGAUUUACUGGGCGUAAAGCGCGUGCAGGCGGUUUCCUAAGUCGUGCGUGAAAGCUCCCUGGCUUAACCGGGAGAGGUCGUGCGAUACUGGGAAACUGGAGACAGAUAGAGGCAAGUAGAAUUCCGGGUGUAGUGGUGAAAUGCGUAGAUAUCCGGAGGAAUACCAGUGGCGAAGGCGGCUUGCUAGAUCUGUUCUGACGCUCAGACGCGAAAGCAUGGGGAGCGAACGGGAUUAGAUACCCUCGUAGUCC